AUCCAGACUUUGAUUAUGGCUCAGGACGAACGCUGGCGGCGUGCCUAACACAUGCAAGUCGAACGGAGCUCCGCCCUUCGGGACGGAACUUAGUGGCGAACGGGUGAGUAGCGCGUGAAGAACCUGCCUUCCAGUGGGGGACAACAGUUGGAAACGACUGCUAAUACCGCAUGAUACUUUUGAGGGGCAUCCCUUGAAAGUCAAAGCUUUAAGUGCUGGAAGAUGGCUUCGCGUCUGAUUAGCUAGUUGGUGGGGUAACGGCACACCAAGGCGACGAUCAGUAGCCGGUCUGAGAGGAUGAACGGCCACAUUGGGACUGAGAUACGGCCCAGACUCCUACGGGAGGCAGCAGUGGGGAAUAUUGGGCAAUGGGCGAAAGCCUGACCCAGCAACGCCGCGUGAAGGAAGAAGGCCUUCGGGUUGUAAACUUCUUUUACCAGGGACGAAGGACGUGACGGUACCUGGAGAAAAAGCAACGGCUAACUACGUGCCAGCAGCCGCGGUAAUACGUAGGUUGCAAGCGUUGUCCGGAUUUACUGGGUGUAAAGGGCGUGUAGGCGGAGGCGCAAGUUGGGAGUGAAAUCUAUGGGCUCAACCCAUAAACUGCUCUCAAAACUGUGUCCCUUGAGUAUCGGAGAGGCAAGCGGAAUUCCUAGUGUAGCGGUGAAAUGCGUAGAUAUUAGGAGGAACACCAGUGGCGAAGGCGGCUUGCUGGACGACAACUGACGCUGAGGCGCGAAAGCGUGGGGAGCAAACAGGAUUAGAUACCCUGGUAGUCCACGCUGUAAACGAUGAAUACUAGGUGUGGGAGGACUGACCCCUUCCGUGCCGCAGUUAACACAAUAAGUAUUCCACCUGGGGAGUACGACCGCAAGGUUGCAACUCAAAUGAAUUGACGGA
Molecule: ribosomal RNA, 900 nt
Filed under: uncultured Bacillota bacterium
Lineage: Bacteria; Bacillati; Bacillota
Description: bacterial SSU rRNA
Rfam family: Bacterial small subunit ribosomal RNA
Source: RNAcentral